RNAcentral lists this ribosomal RNA (253 nucleotides) under uncultured bacterium. RNAcentral's name for it is "partial 16S ribosomal RNA". It matches the Rfam family "Bacterial small subunit ribosomal RNA", at positions 524 to 776 of the family's 1533-position model. The record is from RNAcentral.
UACGGAGGUGGCUAGCGUUACUCGGAAUUAUUGGGUGUAAAGGGCAAGUAGGCGGUCUAAUAAGUGGGGGGUGAAAUACUCCGGCUCAAUCGGGGAACUGCCUUCCAAACUGCUAGACUUGAGUAUGACAGAGGAAAAUGGAAUUCUAGGUGUAAGGGUGAAAUCUGUAGAUAUCUAGAAGAACACCAGCUGCGAAGGCGAUUUUCUGGGUCAUUACUGACGCUAAAUUGCGAAAGCUAGGGGAGCAAACAGA